GAUUUGUCCCCUGUUCUGUGCUCUGUCCUGCCGCUGGAUGCUGUUUAGGGUGUUCAGGCAAGCUCCGAAGUUGCGACAUGGUAAGCCCACCUCCCCCUACUCUAUUGCUUUGGAUCUUCCUUCCAAGUCCUCUAAGUCCUCAGAUCUCAUAUGAGAGACUGAAGAAAAUGUCCUCACAUGUGUCUGGCUAUGAUUUCACUCUGUCAGGUGUUUUCCCAUUCUUAGCUAAUAUCAGCAGGCAGGAAAGAAGUCAUACUGGAGAGAAAAAUCUCUGAAUACACUUCAUGUUGUAAAGCCUUUGACUAUCACAGUCACCCUCAGAGGAAUGAAAGAAUACAUACUGGAGAGAAGCCUUAUAAACGUAAUCAAUGUGGUGAAGCCUUUGCAUGUUACAGUCAUCACCAAUUACAUAAAAGGACACAUACUGGGCUGGAGAGAUGGCUCAGCGGCUAAGAGCACCGACUGCUCUUCCAGAGGUCCUGAGUUCAAGUCCCAGCAACCACAUCUUGGCUCACAGCCAUCUGUAGUGGGGUCUGGGAUCCACAAUAUUGUCUGGGUUUGAUAACUGUUUGAUAACUCUUCUGGUGUGUCUGAAGAGAUCAAUGUUGGUGUACUUAUAUGCAUAAAAUAAAUAAAUAAAUCUUUAACAACAACAAAAAAACCCA
This 665-nucleotide long non-coding RNA is filed under the name Mus musculus (house mouse). RNAcentral's name for it is "predicted gene, 57295". Lineage: Eukaryota; Metazoa; Chordata; Mammalia; Rodentia; Muridae. The record is from RNAcentral.